GACGAGCCUCACAAACGUUAUUCGGAAUUACUGGGCUUAAAGGGUGCGUAGGCGGCGUGGAAAGUUGGGUGUGAAAUCCCUCGGCUCAACCGAGGAAUUGCGCUCAAAACUACCAUGCUCGAGGGAGAUAGAGGAAUGCGGAACUUACGGUGGAGCGGUGAAAUGCGUUGAUAUCGUAGGGAACACCGGUGGCGAAAGCGGCAUUCUGGAUCUCUUCUGGCGCUGAUGCACGAAAGCUAGGGUAGCAAACGGG
Molecule: ribosomal RNA, 253 nt
Filed under: uncultured bacterium
Lineage: Bacteria
Description: partial 16S ribosomal RNA
Rfam family: Bacterial small subunit ribosomal RNA
Source: RNAcentral